Molecule: non-coding RNA, 108 nt
Filed under: Candidatus Pantoea varia
Lineage: Bacteria; Pseudomonadati; Pseudomonadota; Gammaproteobacteria; Enterobacterales; Erwiniaceae
Description: Pantoea sp. OV426 RprA RNA
Rfam family: RprA RNA
About the family: Translational regulation of the stationary phase sigma factor RpoS is mediated by the formation of a double-stranded RNA stem-loop structure in the upstream region of the rpoS messenger RNA, occluding the translation initiation site.
Source: RNAcentral
AUGUUCGAAAUCAACCUGAUGAUUUUCAGACAAACCCAUUCCCCUGAGUAGCGUAAAGAAUUGCUGUGUGUAGUCUUUGCCCAUCCCCUGUGAUGGGCUUUUUUUUGC